CUUUUGUAGCGUGUUGUGAUUAUAGUUCGAACUUUGUUUUUCAGCCUGACAUUCUUCACAGUCAACAUGAAAGUGAAACAGGAGAAAUUUCAGGAGAUAUAAAAGAAAAAUCUACACCUCAAAACAGCAAGGAUAGAGUCAUCUGUGAGCUAAGAGCAGAGCUAGAGAGAAUACAGGCUGAAAAUACAUUGGAAUGGGACAAGAGAGAGUUACUGGAAACUGAGAAACAAGGCCUGGAGAGAGAAAAUAGAAGGCUAAAGGUCCAGGUGAAAGAAAUGGAAGAGCUCCUGGACAGGAAAAGCAGCUUAAGUGAAAGCUUUCAGGGUCCUGAUUUCAAGACGUCCUACAGUGAACUACAGGAAAAGAACAAGGUAGGGAGCUCCGGGAAGCACCUAUUCCCUCACCCUGUGCGCCCCUCUGACACCUGGGCCCCUGCUGCCUUCACCAGUCCACGCUACGUGUUAACUUCCCAUUUGCCCUCUGAUAAAUGAUAGCGUG
RNAcentral lists this long non-coding RNA (498 nucleotides) under Ictidomys tridecemlineatus (thirteen-lined ground squirrel). RNAcentral's name for it is "lncRNA (ENSSTOG00000032398.1)". Lineage: Eukaryota; Metazoa; Chordata; Mammalia; Rodentia; Sciuridae. The record is from RNAcentral.